RNAcentral lists this ribosomal RNA (1167 nucleotides) under uncultured bacterium. RNAcentral describes it as "bacterial SSU rRNA". It matches the Rfam family "Bacterial small subunit ribosomal RNA", at positions 140 to 1264 of the family's 1533-position model. The record is from RNAcentral.
GGGAUAACCCUCCGAAAGGAGGGCUAAUACCAGAUAGGCUCACCUGACUGCAUAGUUGGGUGGGUAAUGGUGGCCUCGACCGCAAGGUUGCUACUGCUUAAGGAGGGGCCCGCGUCCCAUCAGCUUGUUGGUAGGGUAACGGCCUACCAAGGCGUUUGACGGGUAGCUGGCCUGAGAGGGUGGUCAGCCACACUGGGACUGAGACACUGCCCAGACUCCUACGGGAGGCUGCAGUCGAGAAUCUUUGGCAAUGGGCGAAAGCCUGACCAUGCGACGCCGCGUGCGGGAUGAAGGCCUUCGGGUCGUAAACCGCUGUCGCGAGGGACGAAACCCCGCUCGUCUAACAGAGGAGCAGGGCUGACGGUACCUCGAGAGGAAGCCACGGCAAACUCCGUGCCAGCAGCCGCGGUGAUACGGAGGUGGCGAGCGUUGCUCGGAUUCACUGGGUGUAAAGGGCAAGUAGGCGGCCCCGGAAGUCGGGUGUGAAAGCCCACGGCUCAACCGUGGAACGGCGUCCGAAACUCCGGGGCUUGAGGACAGCAGAGGCGAACGGAAUCCCCGGUGUAAGGGUGAAAUCUGUAGAGAUCGGGAGGAACACCAGUGGCGAAGGCGGUUCGCUGGGCUGUCCCUGACGCUGAGAGGCGAAAGCUAGGGGAGCAAACAGGAUUAGAUACCCUGGUAGUCCUAGCUGUAAACGAUGAGCACUAGGUGUUGGCUCGCUUUGGCGGGUCAGUGCCGAAGGUAACCCGUUAAGUGCUCCACCUGGGAACUACGGCCGCAAGGUUGAAACUCAAAGGAAUUGACGGGGGCCAGCACAAGCGGUGGAACAUGUGGUUCAAUUCGAUGCUACGCGAAGAACCUUACCCAGGCUUGACAUGCAGGAAGUAGAAACCUGAAAGGGCGACGAUUCGUAACCAGUGAACACCUGCACAGGUGCUGCAUGGCUGUCGUCAGCUCGUGCCGUGAGGUGUUGGCUUAAGUGCCACAACGAGCGCAACCAUUACUGUUAGUUGCCAUCGGCUCCGCAAGGAGGCCGGGCACCCUAGCGGGACUGCCAACGACGAGUUGGAGGAAGGUGGUGAUGACGUCAAGUCCGUACGGCCUUUAUGCCUGGGGCCACACACGUGUUACAAUGGGGUCGACAACGCGCUGCCAACCCGCGAGGGU